This is a long non-coding RNA of Sander lucioperca (pikeperch), 411 nucleotides long. RefSeq lists it as uncharacterized. NCBI's taxonomy places the organism in Eukaryota, Metazoa, Chordata, Actinopteri, Perciformes, Percidae. The record is from RefSeq and is a predicted model, not a curated record. The transcript has 3 exons.
UUGUUUUUGUUCCGACUUUUUUGUGGGUUUCUCAGACAUUUGUCACCUUUUUGUAAAUUUGUUGCUUUUUCUGACAUUUUUGUACGCUUUUUGUUGACAUAAAGCCCUACAACAGUCAUCAAAAGAGUUCCUUAGCAAUCAUAGAAUUUAGCAAAUCAAGCAAAAAAAUGAUACAACCUGUUUCACAGCCUGAAUAUGAAAACUCUCUGCUUCUUCUGGGGGAAUUUCUAAGUCUCAGAGUCGGAUAAUCUGCCAUAUUCUGCUUUGAAUGUCACGCAAUUGCAGUUUAAAAAACACUUUUUUGUGGCUAUUGUGAACCCAAAUUGAUAUACGGGCCAGAUCUAAAUCUGCAAGGGGCCGGAUUUGGCCCGUGGGCCUUGAGUUUGACACGUGUGUUCAGGCAGGUCCGUC